UUUUUUUUUUCUUUUGGAAGGUUUUAGUACUUGUUUUGUUUACUGACGAUGGGAGUCUGUUAUUUUCAUUGGGUUGUUCUUUCUUCGGGGAAGCUAUUGAUUUCAAGAGAAAAACUUUUUGAACCAAUUUUAUAUUUUUAGACCAUAUACUAAAUACAUGAAUAUAUGAAUUUUUUUUAAAUAUAUUUACCUGGGAAAUAAUUUAGCGAUGGAUUGGUCCCCAAACUCCCAAUUUCCUUUAACGUCGGUGAACAGUGCUAAUGUCAUGCAUGAAUAAUUGCU
Molecule: long non-coding RNA, 282 nt
Filed under: Gossypium raimondii (Peruvian cotton)
Lineage: Eukaryota; Viridiplantae; Streptophyta; Magnoliopsida; Malvales; Malvaceae
Description: long non-coding RNA (GRAI_LNC010532)
Source: RNAcentral